Long non-coding RNA from Aegilops tauschii subsp. strangulata, 1856 nucleotides. RefSeq lists it as uncharacterized. Lineage: Eukaryota; Viridiplantae; Streptophyta; Magnoliopsida; Poales; Poaceae. The record is from RefSeq and is a predicted model, not a curated record.
GAAAGAUAAAAACAUGCAAGCAAUCCAACAUAAACCGAGUAUAUUCUGUUUCUUCUCUCAAAAUUGUGUUUUUUGUGUGAUAUUCUGAAUAUAUAUAAUAAUUAUAAAAAAACUUUAUUUCUAUAAUCCAUGUUCAAUUAAUUUGGUUUUUGAGAAUAAUAUUUUUUUUUCGUACAACAAAUUUUGGGAUCCAAUGCCCAAAUCAGCAUAGCCCACUCUCUCCUUCCCCUCACUAUCCUAUCCCGCAUGACCCAACCAGCCCCACUAUAUCUUUCUAGAAAAAAAGAAAAGAAAAAACAGCCCCCACCUUCUCCUUCCCCUCGCUCUAUCGUUCCCCUCACUCUCUCCACUCCCGCACACGCAAAUCCCUAAUCUCGGCCGAGUCACCCACUCCACUCCCUCCGCUGUCGCCCCCACAGCCGCCACAACCAGCGAACUCGUCUCCCACCGCUGCCCCCUCUCGUCCCCUCCCCUCUACUCAUCCGACGGCGCUGACCGCGCAGAUCGAGCGACCAGGCGGCGGCCACAUGCGCACACAACCGGCGACCAACAUCACGCAAAGGUCAUCACCGCCGUCGCCGAAGGGCGGUCUUCUUCCACCUCGACGGACGAGCUUGCGCGCCAGGAGAGGAGCGGGGAUCCUGCGCUUCUUCCUCGCUCAGCGCCCCUGUCGCCAUGCCAUGGAUGGACCUCCCUCUGCUCUCACCAAUGCCAUGUACCGAGCUUGCUCUCCUCCUCGAGAUAUUAUCCUCCAAGCUAUAUGAUAUGGACAACACAUGAUUUAUGGAACGAAAAGAGAUCAUGUCAUCCAGAUAAUUAGAUUUCACCGCAUGAUGUUCUUUACCCCAGCCGAGCAUAGUGUGCUGCCGCGCCGUCGAUUUCCACGAAGUGGCCAGCCCGAGCCGAUUCCCCAAUGUGUCAAUGACUACGUCCGCUGCGUGAUCCUGUGGGACAUGACCAAUCCAUUGCCUUAUCAACACAUCGAGGGUGAAUUGAGUUCAGAGCUUUAAGCAAACGAUUGCGAUUUUGUAGCUGCAGUGGUGCUAUUCUUUAUCAUUUGGUGAACAUAUACCUGGAGGUACAUGUGAUGAAGUCGUCAGUUCCGCUGGCUUGCUGUGUGGAGUCCCCAUAUGUAACUACUAAAAAAAGACAUGUCCAACAGAAUCAGGCAGAUGAAGGCCGUCGAAGAUCACAAGCGCAGCUUGCUAUUGUACAGGUUUGGAAUUUAGAAAGGUGACCUAUUUUCAUGUGAACUUACCUAUUCUUUGCUAUUCAGAAUAAUUCUUUAUCUUCCCAUUGCUGUGUUAAUUGAUUCAUAUGCGGUUGUGCUAUUCUGACAAGGAUGUCCAUCAAGGUUGUUUGGAGGGACAUAAUGAAACCUCACAAGUUCUACUUUGCUGAUUCUUUCAGAGAAUUGUUUCAUUACUAAUGCGCUAUCGUGGGCAUGUAUUAAUCCCAAAUUCCAAAUCACUUUGGAAUCCAGUCAAAAUCCAGUGAAAAUCACUCUGGAAUCCUUCUCCGUAAUUGAUUCGCAAACUACUCUCAAGGACUGCUCUGAACCUCAAAUAUCAUGGGCACAUGAAGUUGUGGUGUAAUUUUUACAGAAACAAGUGAUUCAGGCAGCAAGGUAUUGAUUGAUGCAACUAUGUUGUACUGUUUCGGUGACUGCUAAUAUUUUCUUUAGGAAGGAUAACCAAUUCAGUACUAAAAGUAUUCUUCAUGUUAUCUAAAUUGAGGGCGAUCCUUUGUACACUAAUAUGAGGUGUUUUAGGUCACGAAGUAUUGACCUAAAAGGUCUUGUAUUAGUUACAGAGGGGUUUGAGCGCGGGCAGCGGCCGGCGGCGGAGGUGGAAAAU